CCUACGGGAGGCUGCAGUGAGGAAUAUUGGUCAAUGGGCUUACGCCUGAACCAGCCAAGUCGCGUGAGGGAAGACUGCCCUAUGGGUUGUAAACCUCUUUUGUCAGGGAGCAAUUGGCGCUACGUGUAGCGUUAUCGAGAGUACCUGAAGAAAAAGCAUCGGCUAACUCCGUGCCAGCAGCCGCGGUAAUACGUAUGGAGCAAGCGUUAUCCGGAUUUACUGGGCGUAAAGGGAGCGUAGGCGGCCUGCCAAGUCUGAUGUGAAAUACCGGGGCUCAACCCCGGGGCUGCAUUGGAAACUGGCAGGCUGGAGUGCCGGAGAGGCAGGCGGAAUUCCUAGUGUAGCGGUGAAAUGCGUAGAUAUUAGGAGGAACACCAGUGGCGAAGGCGGCCUGCUGGACGGUGACUGACGCUGAGGCUCGAAAGCGUGGGGAGCAAACAGGAUUAGAUACCCCAGUAGUC
RNAcentral lists this ribosomal RNA (461 nucleotides) under uncultured bacterium. RNAcentral describes it as "partial 16S ribosomal RNA". It matches the Rfam family "Bacterial small subunit ribosomal RNA", at positions 338 to 795 of the family's 1533-position model. The record is from RNAcentral.